GCAGGUGGUGCGGAGAAGAAAGUUUAAAGAGGUGCGUGGAUAAGCUCCGUAUAUUUAUGCCCAUAAAAUUGUGGAAGAAAAUACAAUAAAUGUUUGGUAGAGGUUGUCUCUGAGUGGUAAUUAUGUUAUUUUUAUUUUUGUCUUAGAUUUUUCCACAAUGAACAUUUAUUUUCAUAAGAACAAAAAAAGACAAAAGUAAAAAUAACUAAUGCUUAUAUAACAUUUACUCUGCGCCAGGUGUUGCAAAAUGCUUUUGUUGUUGGCUGCAGCGUGCAGCGGCUUGAUGUGGGAUCUCAGUUCGCAGACCAGUAGCAGUGAAGCUCUGAGUCCUGACUGCUGUACCACCAGGGAACUCCCGAUAUAUUAACUGAUUUAAUUCUCACGCAGUCCUAGCAGAAAGUAUCAGUACUCUCAUCAUUUUAUAGAUGAAGAAAGUGAGGCACAGAAAGGUUCCCAAGGUCCCAGAGCCAGUUAAUUACAGAGCCAAGAUGAUAACUGAGACCAUGGCUCCAGAGUCCUUAGGAAAGUAGGUCUCACAGCUUAUCAGGAACUUUUCCUCUCUUUUCUCCUUGUGGAAAAACAGAUUCUUAAAGUUCCCUAAACACCACCUCCUACAUGAAGUCUUCCUGGUCUACCCAUCUUCCUUCAUAGCUGUUAGCUCCUUCCAUGUCAGUACUUCCUUUUUGCAACUGAGUUGCAGUUUGUGCCACACAAGUAGGUUAAGUUGAUUUUGUGUGUGUGUGUGCCAUUUUAACUAUUUUUAAGCAUGCAGUUCAUUGUCAUUAACUACAUUCACAAUGUUGCGCAACCAUCACUGCUGUAUGUUUCCAAAACUUUUUCAUGAGUGCAAGCAGAAACCCUGUUAACUAUUAAGCAAUAACUCCCCAUUCUUCUUUCUCCCCAUUCCUUGGUAACCCCUAACUUACUUUCCGUCUCUAUGGAUUUGCCUGUUCUAGAUAUUUCAUGUCAGCUGAAUUUUACAGUAUAUGUCCUUUUGUGUCUGGCUUAUACUUAGCAUAGUGUUUUCAAAGUUCAUCCAUGUUGUAUGUGUCAGAAAUUCAUUAUGGCUGAUUAAUGUUCUGUUGCAUGGAUAUACCACAUUUUGUUUAUCCAUUCAUCCGUCAAUAAACACUUGGGGAGUUCCCGUUGCAGCUCAGCGAUAAUGAACCCAACUAGUAUCCACGAGGAUCAGGGUUCAAUCCCUGGCCCCGCUCAGUGGGUUAAGGAUCUGGUGUUGCCGAGAGUUUCAGUAUAGGUUGAAGACGUGGCUCAGAGCCUGAGACAUGGGUCAGAUGCUGUGGCUGUGACCUGCAUCUGCAGCUCCAAUUCGACCCUUAGCCUGGGAACUUCCAUAUACUGCAGGUGCAGCCCUAAAAAGGAAAAAAAGACCAACAAGAAAAACCACUUGGGUUGUUUCUACCUUUUGGCUAAUGUAGAUAAUGCUGUAAAGAACACUGGCAUUUAGUGAUCUAUUUUGAGUUCCUCUUUUUUGUUUGUUUGUUUUUGUUUUUUGUCUUUUUGCCUUUUCUAUAGGGCUGUUCCCGCGGCAUAUGGAGGUUCCCAGGCUGGUGGCUACAGCUCCCACUCGAUCCCUAGCUUGGGAACCUCCAUAUGCCGCGGGAGCAGCCCAAGAAAUAGCAAAAAGACAAAAAAAAAAAAAAACCAAAAAAGACCUUGGUGCUGACUGUUGCUGCAGCCUAAAUGCAGCCCUCCUCUCAAUCCUCGACUGGCUCUUUCCCAUCCUCAGGUUUCAGUUCAAUUCUUUUAAUUUUUUAUCAAUUUGUUUCUUUUAUUUAUUUUUUGCUUUUUUGAGGGGCACCUGCAGCAUAUGGAAGUUUCCAGGCAAGGGGUCCAUUCGGAGCUGCAGCUGCUGGCCUACACCACAACAGCAGCAAUGCCAGAUCCUUAACCACUGAAAGAGGCCAGGGAUCGCACCCAAUCCUCAUGGAUAUCAGUUGGGUUCGUAACCCGCUGAGCCACAACGAGAACUCUCAGAUUUCAAUUCAAAUGACACCUCUGGGAGUUCUCUUAUGGUGCAGUGGGUUAGUUAAGGAUCCAGGGUUGUCAGUGCUGCCACUCGGAUCACUGAUGUGGCUUGGAUUCGAUCCCUGGCCCAAGAACUUCCACAUGCCCUGAGCACAGCCAAAACAAAGAAAUGCACUUCUUCAGUGAGUCCUUUCACCACCCUCUAAACCAGUAGCGCUGAUCCUACAGUCACUCUCUAUGUCAUCCCUCUUUUAUUUUCCUUGUAGCACUUAGCACUCUUUGAGAUAGUUUUCUUUACUUGGUGAACUUGUUCAGAGACUGUUUUACUAGAUAUGAGCUCCAGAAGUGUGCACGCCCUGUCUAUCCUGUUUGCUGCUCUGUGCAAACAGUAGUGCUUAGUACACAGUAGGCCUUCAGCAAUUACUAGAUAAAUGAGUGAAUGAAUGCCCGUAUGCAUUUUUUUUUUUUGUCUUUUCUUUUCUUUUUUUUUUGCUAUUUCUUGGGCCGCUCCCGCAGCAUAUGGAGGUUCCCAGGCUAGGGGUUGAAUCGGAGCUGUAGCCACCGGCCUACGCCAAAGCCACAGCAGCUCAGGAUCCGAGCCGCAUCUGCAACCUACACCACAGCUCACGGCAACGCUGGAUUGUUAACCCACUGAGCAAGGGCAGGGACCGAAUCCGAAACCUCAUGGUUCCUAGUCGGAUUCGUUAACCACUGCGCCACGACGGGAACUCCCCCGUAUGCAUUUUUGAAUCAUUUUCGGAUGUCUGUCAAGUCUGUAUGUUAAUGUGUGCUCAACUCAAAUAGGCCUUAUGUCAACUCUGGCUCCCUCCACUCUUCCCUGAGCUCUGGAGGGCAGGAACCAUGUCCAAUCCAUCAUUGCACCUUGGAGCAGUUCUGCAAGUGCACUGCCUACAGUGAAGGGCCAGAAUUUUAAAUUUCCAGUCCACUGCAGACUGGUACUUUUGAAAAAUACAGUAACAAUGUUAGGGAAAUGUCAGCUUGCUAGAAAACUUUUUGAAAGCUUAUUCUCGAUUUCUGUGCUUAUAGUGUCCUGAGCAGGUGAUGAACAGUUUACAGUUUGAGUCACACUGCCUUAGAGGUCCGCACAAUACAUGGUAGGUAGAUGUCAGUGUUUAGAACACUGACUUUUUCUUUCUUCCUCCCUCUCUUUCUUUUCUUCCUUCCCUUCCUUCCUUUCUUCUUUCACCACCCCACAACACAUGGAGUUCCCAAGCCAGGGAUCAGAUCUGAGCUGCAGUUGCAACCCAGGCCACAGCUUCGGCAAUGCAGGCUCCUUUAACCCACUGUGCCAGGGUGAGGAUCAAACCUGCAUUCCAGGGCUACAGAGAUGCUGCCCAUCCUGUUGCACCAUAGCAGGAACUCCUGCCUUGACCUCUUAGAAAACCAAGACAUCAUCUACAUGGGAUUAAAGACAAAGAAGGAGGGGAACAGGGGAACAGACUUCGUUUAUUGCAAAACAUCUAGUAAAUGCCAACUGUUAGAUUGAUGCUGUCCACUGGAAAUUUUUUUUUUUAAGGCCGCACCUGCUGCAUAUGAAGUUCCCAGGCUAGGGGCCCAAUCGGAGCUGUAGCUUCCGGCCUUUGCCACAGCCAUAGCAACUUGGGAUCUGAGCCACAAUGCAACUUACACCACAGCUCACGGCAACGCCAGAUCUUUAAUUCAUGGAGCAAGGCCGGGGAUCGAACCCACAUCCUCAUGGAUACUAGUCCAGUUCAUUACCGCUGAGCCACAACAGAACUCCUGCAACUUUUUGCGGCAAUGUAGAUGUUUUAUAACUGUGCUAUCCAAUAUGAUGGCCACUAGCCACAUGUGUCUGUUGAACACUUGUAAUGUGGCAAGUCAAGGAAUCAAAUUUUCUGUUUUUAUUUUAGUUAAUUUAAAUAGCCACAUAUAACUAUUAGCAAACACUUUUUUUUUUCUUUUUUGUAUGUACCUGCUGCAUGUGAAAGUUCCCAGACCAGGGAUCGAACCCACGUCACAGUUGCAGCCUUUGCCACAGCUAUGGCAAUGCCAGACCCUUAACCUACAAGGGAACUUCCUAAUGGCAAAUACUUUUGAUAGUGCAGUUAUAACAAGUUAUAUCUUUGAAAACAAAAUGCCUCCAUCUUUAGCACCUGAUAUCCAAUCAGUUUCCAAGAUGUGUCCGCUCUUCUGCCUAAAUGUUGGUCCAGUCAGACCUUUCUCCAUCCCCCAACUCAGUGGAUAGUAAUCCUGCUCAGAGUCAUGCAUCCUUGAUUUCUCCCUCUCCUUAAAUACUCCCUCUCCCUAAAUAUUCCCUCUGCAACCUCCAAUUUAUCACCACGUCCUCUCAGUAUUAUCUCUUAAGCACCUUACAGUCCCCUCUAAUUCUCCAUCUCUACCACCACCAUUACCUCUCACCUAGACAGUAGCCCCCAAACCAGCUUCCUUGCAUCAGGUCUUGCUCACCAUUCCCAGCCCCUAGUGCUCUUCGGAAAACCCUUGAGUGGCUCCCCAUUAUUUAUUAGGAUAAAGACAAACCUCUUCCUGAGCCUACAACCCCCUCCAUAGUCCUUGGUCUGGCCCUAUUCCUACUGCUGACUAGGUCAAACCCUUCCUUCCUUCCUUCCUUCUCACUCUCUUUCUCGCUUGCUUUCUUUCUUUUUUUUUUUUUUUUUUUUUUUUCAUUUUUUCAUAGAAGGCUGUCUUGAUCAAUGCAGUUCUUCUUUGAGCAUCAGGCAUAGUUUCUUUCUUUUUUUUUUUAGUUUUUAGGGCCGUACCUGUGGCAUAUGGAGGUUCCCAGGCUAGGGGUCAAAUCGGAGCUAGAGCUGCUGGCCUACAUCUCAGCCACAGCAAAGGCAGAACGGAACCGCAUCUGCAACCUACACCACAACUCACAGCAACGCUGGAUCCUUAACCCACUGAGCAAGGCCAGGGAUCAAACCUGCAACCUCAUGGUUAUUAGUUGGAUUCGUUUCUGCUGCACCAUGAUGGGAACUCCAGGCACAGUUUCAACUUUACUUUCAUUUGUAUUGAGUUGAUUAAUGGUCUUCCACACUCCCCCAACUAGACUACCAGCUCUGUGAGGACCAAGAAUGGGCUGGUUUUGCUCAACAUUUUAUUCCCCUGCCUCACACCUGGUGAUGAUGUUCAAUAAAUAUUUGUUAUAACGGCAGUUUAGGGAGUUCCCUGGUGGCUCAGCAGGUUAAGCCAGCAUUGUCACUGCUGUAGCUCUGGUUACUGCUGUGGUGAAGAUUUGAUCCCUGGUCCAGAAAGCUCUGCAUGCCAAGGGCGUGGCCAAAAAAAAAAAAAAAAAAAAA
RNAcentral lists this long non-coding RNA (5285 nucleotides) under Sus scrofa (pig). RNAcentral's name for it is "lncRNA (ENSSSCG00050013841.1)". The record is from RNAcentral. Lineage: Eukaryota; Metazoa; Chordata; Mammalia; Artiodactyla; Suidae.